CCUGGCGGCACUAGCGCGGUGGUCCCACCUGACCCCAUGCCGAACUCAGAAGUGAAACGCCGUAGCGCCGAUGGUAGUGUGGGGUCUCCCCAUGCGAGAGUAGGGAACUGCCAGGA
This 116-nucleotide ribosomal RNA is filed under the name Salmonella enterica subsp. enterica serovar Oranienburg. Lineage: Bacteria; Pseudomonadati; Pseudomonadota; Gammaproteobacteria; Enterobacterales; Enterobacteriaceae. The record is from RNAcentral. RNAcentral also lists the same sequence under 11 other names.